ACAAAUACGACACAGCUGAGGCUCAGUACACUCCUUAUCAUGACCUCAGUUCUCCUUUCCUACAACACAUCGCACAACAGCUAUCUGUGCCGACGCUGCUCCUCGUGCAACACGGACAUAACAGAGGACCUCUACUCGCGACAUAAGGUCCGAUGUGUGUAUGAGGAGUUCAUGCGCGAGAAGGCCAAGAAAGAGGCUCUGCGACACGCCAUUAAGAAAAAUCAAUGAGCAAGUGUCACACGUUUCACAUGACAACACUGCAGCAUCUGAGCUCACACGUUCAGACUGAGCUACAGAUGCACAUACACACACACACACACACACACACACAUACAUAUUGUACGAUAUGGGGUGCAGUUGUACGAUACAUACUUGUAACCCCGUAUUACUGUACCAAACACUGGUGGAAUACCACCCCCGAGCUGGUCUCGUUAUUUAUUUAUUGAAUGAAUGGAGUUUAUGAUGCACCUAAUUAC
This 476-nucleotide unclassified non-coding RNA is filed under the name Yarrowia lipolytica. The record is from RNAcentral. Lineage: Eukaryota; Fungi; Ascomycota; Dipodascomycetes; Dipodascales.